CUACGUGCCAGCAGCCGCGGUAAUACGUAGGGCGCGAGCGUUGUCCGGAAUUAUUGGGCGUAAAGGGCUUGUAGGCGGUUGGUCGCGUCUGCCGUGAAAUUCUCUGGCUUAACUGGGGGCGUGCGGUGGGUACGGGCAGACUAGAGUGCAGUAGGGGAGACUGGAAUUCCUGGUGUAGCGGUGGAAUGCGCAGAUAUCAGGAGGAACACCGAUGGCGAAGGCAGGUCUCUGGGCUGUAACUGACGCUGAGAAGCGAAAGCAUGGGGAGCGAACAGGAUUAGAUACCCUGGUAGUCCACGCUGUAAACGUUGGGCACUAGGUGUGGGGGCCACCCGUGGUUUCUGCGCCGUAGCUAACGCUUUAAGUGCCCCGCCUGGGGAGUACGGCCGCAAGGCUAAAACUCAAAGGAAUUGACGGGGGCCCGCACAAGCGGCGGAGCAUGCGGAUUAAUUCGAUGCAACGCGAAGAACCUUACCAAGGCUUGACAUGC
Molecule: ribosomal RNA, 490 nt
Filed under: uncultured bacterium
Lineage: Bacteria
Description: bacterial SSU rRNA
Rfam family: Bacterial small subunit ribosomal RNA
Source: RNAcentral